Maylandia zebra (zebra mbuna) is the source of this 1664-nucleotide long non-coding RNA. RefSeq lists it as uncharacterized. The record is from RefSeq and is a predicted model, not a curated record. Lineage: Eukaryota; Metazoa; Chordata; Actinopteri; Cichliformes; Cichlidae.
UAUUUUCUAUACAUACUCCCACCUGCAAUUGGAUUCCUUCUGUGUUGCAUCACACUGGCUGUGUUUCUCUACAGAAAAUGCAUGAUGAUGAAACUAAAUCAGGAUGCCGUCCAGGAUCAGAUUCCUCCUCAGUCAGGAGAAGAGGGUGGCAGCACUAAUUGCAAAAACAACAGACAGAGGAGUCAGUAUAUGGAGAGACUGAAUUCAAUCUAUGAUCACUUCAAUCUAUGAUCAACUGAAAAACCUUCCAGUUCCUGACAGACAUGAACAGUGUCAGAGCAGAAACUAAAAGGGAACGCCAUCAGAGGCAGGACACCCGGGCUAUAAUACCCUCAGCUUCAGCUCAGACAAAUGACUCUGCCUGUGAGCGCAGCAGUUCCAACCAUCCAUCACCAUCCAGGGAGCUUUUAUAUCUCAAGGAUCUUUGCUGUAACAACUUUGAGAGCACUUAGUUUGACAGAAGUGCUUUUCUUCAUCUGUGAGUAUAAGACCAGGUUCAUGAACCUAUGUACUGUCAACCUAUUGACUGACUAUAAGAAAGCCUAUGACUCACACAGAUCCUGGAAUGCCUAGAAAUACAAGAACAACAGGACCCUAAGAGCCUUCAUCGGGAAUUCAGUGGGGAUGUGGUGAACAAUGCUAGAGGCCAACUUGAAGCCAAGUGCGUGGUCAAGUGUGGAAGGUCUGAAUCCCCUUAGCCAGAUCAUCAACAAGACUGGCUAGGGAUAUCAACUACACAAUCAAGCAAUCAUCAGCCACCACAACUAUAUGGAUGACAUCAAGCUGUAUGCCAAGAGUGAACGAGACAUAGACUCACUGAUCCAUACCACUAGGAUAUACAGCAAUGACACUGUGAUGUCAUACUGACUGGAGAAGUGUAGUGAGAUGGUAACAAAGAGAGGGAAAGCAGAACUGAGCGAACUGCACUGGCAGAAGGCAACAAUGCAGACAUCAAGGACAGCUACAAGUCCAUCCAUACCAUGCAUGGAGGGUUUCACCAUAUCCUGGGAUUGUGCACUAAGCAGAAUGAAGGAGACUAGUGAGUGUCAGAGUCAUUAUUGCUUUACUUUGCAGAAAAAUAAUGAUAAGGACACUGAAUCAGGAUCAGUUUCUCCCUCAGUCAAGAGAAGAGAUCAGAAGAUCGUCAUCAUCUUUAAUACUCUCAAAUUUUGUCUACCAAAUUUUAUUUUAGCCUUUUGUCUGUAUAGGUAAGUAUAUUUAUUUAUACAUGAUUUGAAGUUCUCUGAACCAUUUUCCAACAAAAGACACUCAGGAAAUUCAGACCUCCACCAAGGCAGGUCACUCUCUGUGCAGGAUUUUAGGGAAUAGUGUUGUAAUUUGUGUUCAUUAUUUUGUUUUCUUUGUUGCUUUUAAGCAUUUUAAAGAAGUUUCACUGCAGAAAUAAUUAAGUGUAAAGUGCAGACGUUUGCUGUUUGCCCCACAGAAAUACUUUUUAAUAUGUGUGCCAUAAUUUUGAGUAUAAUAAUAAUAAUAAUAAUUUUUUAUUGUUCAUUAAUGUGGAUGUAGCGGAUGUUUGUUUAGUAAAAUGUCCUUAAAUAUUUAGUAAUAAUUAGCAAAUGAACAAACGUUUUCUAUGUUAAUGAACAUUUUUGGAGUUUAGCUAUUCUGUUUUUACAUUUUGUAUUUUUGUAUUGAUUUUUUUA